CCUACGGGCGGCAGCAGUGAGGAAUAUUGGUCAAUGGACGCAAGUCUGAACCAGCCAUGCCGCGUGCAGGAAGACGGCUCUAUGAGUUGUAAACUGCUUUUGUACGAGGGUAAACGCAGAUACGUGUAUCUGUCUGAAAGUAUCGUACGAAUAAGGAUCGGCUAACUCCGUGCCAGCAGCCGCGGUAAUACGGAGGAUUCAAGCGUUAUCCGGAUUUAUUGGGUUUAAAGGGUGCGUAGGCGGUCGGAUAAGUUAGAGGUGAAAUCCCGAGGCUCAACUCUGGAAUUGCAGCUGAUACUGGUCGGCUAGAGAGUAGUAGCGGUAGGCGGAAUUCAUGGUGUAGCGGUGAAAUGCUUAGAGAUCAUGCAGAACACCGAUUGCGAAGGCAGCUUACCGGGCUACUUCUGACGUUGAGGCACGAAAGCGUGGGUAUCAAACAGGAUUAGAUACCCCGGUAGUC
Molecule: ribosomal RNA, 460 nt
Filed under: uncultured bacterium
Lineage: Bacteria
Description: partial 16S ribosomal RNA
Rfam family: Bacterial small subunit ribosomal RNA
Source: RNAcentral